UUUAUUGUCUGUAGAAACAAGAUUUACAUUGAUUUUAUAUAAACUAUGUUAAACAUACAUAUAAACAUACCUACAUCUUAAUAUAUACUUAUGAAUGAGGAUUUUAGAUAUGAGAUAACAUUGUCAAGAGCACCGUUGUGGACGCCAAAGACUACAGACUUAAAAUGCAUUUGCAUUUAACUCCAUCUUCAGUAGUUUAAAAAUGUCAUUUCUUAUCCACACUUAGAAAUAAUUACAUUAAAGAUUUCUAACACUGUGUUUGUAUGUGUACACACGUGCACAUACACACAUUAGAAGGUCCUUGUGAAACUACAGUAUAAAUAACAUCAAUGUUAAUAUAUUCCUUACAAGUAGACAUCAGUCCACAUCCUCAUUCAAUUGGGGGGAAAAGAAUUCCUGCUAUUCUUAAACAAAAUAAUGAGGCUUUUUUAUUCCACGAAGAGCAUACUCAAACAACAACUGUUUCCACCCUGUCUCUUCCCUCAACAAUAAAGAUAUGAGAAGCCAGUCACAAAAUGAAAGCCAUCUACUACAUUAUUUACAGAAAAUGAAAUAUUAAAAGACAGCAUGAGAUUUAGACUGCUUAGACAAAAUUCAGAGCAAUGAACAGUGAACAGAAGAAAACUGUAUUCAAGUGGCAAGCAGCAUAGAGCUAUUAAGCCACGUGGCUGAAUACCCACUCAAAACCCCCUCCCAACAACAAAAAGCAUCAGGCACAGAAGGAAAGGGCAGGUGUUAUGACUGUAGUUUUCUCUGCUCUGAACACUAAAAAUUUAGCUCCUCAAGCUUGAAACAGAACACUCUUUAAAUGUUCAUCACUACCAUUAAGGUCUAUUAAGGAGUCAAGUGUUACAAGUAGGCUUUCAAUGACCUUGAAAUGGCUUUUAUUUUUUUUUCUCCUUCAAAAGGAGGCUGAAGAACCUCCUAUCUUCAAAUCUUGCAGCAAUGGAAUGAAGUCUGUCAAGGGCCAGAAUAAUGUGCAGAAACAUCCCUUCCCCCCCCAGGUUCAUUCAGAUGCCAGUCUGAAGUCUUUCUUCUAGAAAGCUCUCCCGUAGAAAACUUUGCAGAUGGCUGUUCAAAUGUUUAAGGAAAGGCAAGAGGCAUGUUUCUACACAGCAUAGGAAAAGAUCCCUUUGGAAAGCAAGGAAGUUAAAGAACUCCCUCUAUUUACAGUCUCUAAGGUGAACACUGAGAAAUCAACUCUCUCUUUGCUAUAAUCUUUAAUCUUCUCCUCCAAGCAACUCUCACUAUCCAUUUCCAAGACAUGGCAGAAAAUAACUUUCCAAGUUUUGAGAACCCCACCUUUUUUAAUGCCACCAAAGUGUCAUCUUGGUUUUUAUUUUGUUUUUAAAGCAACUAAGUUCAUAUAAAGAAAAUUCAGCAUUUCACUCUGAGGCCCUGGGAGAGAAGGCAGCAAGUAAGCCAUUAACACAAUUGGUGAUCAGCUGAAUUUACUCCCAUCCUCUCUGCUAUCAGUUACCUGAGUUGAGACAGUUCUAUCCAGGUCUCAAGGCCGUCUAAAUCCAUCAGGUAAGGUGAAACAUGAAAAUAAUUGCUAGAGUUAAGGCAGGCUUGUAGAAGCUUUGUAAUGUGUUGCUUCUUACUAGCCCCAGAAUUUUGUUAACCUUGUGAACUCGCAUCAAAGUUUAAAAUGAGGAUUCUAACAAAUCUAUGUAGAGAUUAAAUGGAUCAUCAAUAUAAAUGCUAACAUCACAACUUACUAUUUCAGACACUUAUAAGGAAGACUCUAGUCGUAUUAAAGCCAUUGCAUUUUGGAUAGCAAUUAAAAGAACAUUUCACAUGGGAACAAUUGAGUGACAUGAGCAUUUAACAGCCAUUUCAAGUCAACCAAAAAGAAAGGCAAUUCACAUUUAUAUUUUCAACGUAUAGGACAAAGCUAGAAAGCUCUUAGACAAUCACAUUUUUAAGUUGCCCUUCCAAUGCAAAUGCAGUGGCAGACUUUACUAGCACAAGCGACGCUGUUUUCCUUCUGAGACUUACACAUGUAUUUAAAUAAGUAGUUAUUCUGAUAUCAGUCCAUAUUCCCAUUAGAAACAAUGGGAUAAUCAGGAUAUUACUUAAGUCUUUGUACAGGUGUUUUCUACAAUGCAAUCACAAUACAGAAAGGCACCAAGUUAUUCAAGUAAAUAGACCUUUCUUCUACUUAAGACUUUUUCUUGCGCCUUCACAACCCAAUCAGUAACUUCAAUACACUGCUCUCAACAAAACGUAUUCCAGUACAACAGAACUUUUCUGUGCUACAAGCAUAAGCAAGCUGAUUUGUGUGUAAGUAUAUAGACACAAGCCUCCAACUCACAAAGAUAUAUCUACAUAGCAAUGUCUCAUACCAGAUAGAGCUGAUGCCUCUAGCACCUAAACCAGUCACAGAAUUCAACCUUCGUAUGAUUUUUAUAAAAUACAGGAAGUUUUAUCAUCACAGAAUCUCAAAUUAACAAAGUAAAGUUAUCAGUAAAGAAUGUGAUUUGAGCAAAUGGUAUCACAUUAAAUAAAAGCUAAAGCAACUGAAACAGUUACUACAUUUCAUCAUAUGACAUUCAUCUUGGGACCGAGGGUGGGCAAGGAGUGGGGGGAGAAGUCAAGGUCAGUAAACAUGCCAACAAACCCUGCUUGUAAUAUGUUGCUCACAGUUGUAGAAAUAAAAAACAAAGCUAAACUGUUCAAAAACAAAACAAAUCAGAGAUACCUAGUCAUGCACAAGUAAAAUAAGAGAGCACAAAAUCAGAGAGGAGCCAGUCACAUUUCUAAACCUGGUUAAAGCAGCAUUAACUGACUGAAGCCCGACUACUUCAGCAUUACUUCUAAGCAGUGUUAGCAAAACUGCCAUGUCAGAAGUUUCUUCAUAUAUCCACUUUUCCCAUUUGUUCAACCAUGAGUUCUCUUCCAGGCUUUAAUAAGAACACUGCAGGAAGCUUACAGAAACAGUAGUAUCCUGUUGAAUAAGACAAUAUAGCUUCAGUAGUUUGUCCUAUAUCAUACAUGGUUUCACUUUUUACAUGUUUUACAGUGCUUCAGCACAUUCAGGAGCAGUGGGAAUAGCUUGAUGGCAAACUGCCCUCACCUGCAGGGUACCUGCAGCACUCCCCUGUUAGCAGGCUGCUCAACUGCAGCUACUCCAUAUUUGCUUUGGGUUGACUCACUUAUUCCAAUUCCUUACUUUCGUCUCCCUGUAAAUCUACCCAAGAUGUUUUUGCCCAAUUUGUCACUGACAGCAAAAAUAAACAAACAUUUUAUCAUCUGUGGAAAUUUUCCUGCCUCAGUUUGAC
Strigops habroptila (Kakapo) is the source of this 3284-nucleotide long non-coding RNA. Lineage: Eukaryota; Metazoa; Chordata; Aves; Psittaciformes; Psittacidae. The record is from Ensembl.